UACGAAGGGUGCAAGCGUUACUCGGAAUUACUGGGCGUAAAGCGUGCGUAGGUGGUUUGUUAAGUCUGAUGUGAAAGCCCUGGGCUCAACCUGGGAAUUGCAUUGGAUACUGGCAGGCUAGAGUGCGGUAGAGGAUGGCGGAAUUCCCGGUGUAGCAGUGAAAUGCGUAGAGAUCGGGAGGAACAUCUGUGGCGAAGGCGGCCAUCUGGACCAGCACUGACACUGAGGAGCGAAAGCGUGGGUAGCAAACAGG
This 253-nucleotide ribosomal RNA is filed under the name uncultured bacterium. RNAcentral describes it as "partial 16S ribosomal RNA". It matches the Rfam family "Bacterial small subunit ribosomal RNA", at positions 524 to 776 of the family's 1533-position model. The record is from RNAcentral.